ACAACUUAGCAAUUCACAAUGACUCAGAAAUACAAGUUUACUUGGCUCAGCUAUUUUUGUGUAUCACAAGAGAUAUAAAUGGGUUUCUUUGGAAUAGUUUCAGGGUCAUUGAAAGCUAAUAUUUAUUUAGCUUUUAAUACUUAUUUUAUUCCCCAAACCCCUUUCUUUUUGGUCUCCUGAGAAUUACCAACAGCUCAUUAU
Molecule: long non-coding RNA, 201 nt
Filed under: Bos taurus (domestic cattle)
Lineage: Eukaryota; Metazoa; Chordata; Mammalia; Artiodactyla; Bovidae
Description: long non-coding RNA NONBTAT011071
Source: RNAcentral